This 253-nucleotide ribosomal RNA is filed under the name uncultured bacterium. RNAcentral's name for it is "partial 16S ribosomal RNA". It matches the Rfam family "Bacterial small subunit ribosomal RNA", at positions 524 to 776 of the family's 1533-position model. The record is from RNAcentral.
UACGUAGGGGGCGAGCGUUGUCCGGAUUUAUUGGGCGUAAAGAGCGUGUAGGCGGCCAGGUAGGUCUGCUGUGAAAACUCGAGGCUCAACCUCGAGACGUCGGCGGAAACCAUCUGGCUAGAGUCCGGAAGAGGGUGGUGGAAUUCCCAGUGUAGCGGUGAAAUGCGUAGAUAUUGGGAGGAACACCGGUGGCGAAGGCGGCCACCUGGGCCGGAACUGACGCUGAGGCGCGAAAGCCAGGGGAGCAAACGGG